UAUGCUACUUAUUCAUUCUAAACUGUCCAUCGCCACAAUCCAAAUUAGAAAAAAAAACCCUCCAUAAUACUAAGUUGUUUGGUUUCUUUUAAACAAUUCUCCUUUUCUUUGCUCCCUCUCUUCCUUCCCGCUGCAUCCUUUCUAGGAGUAUCUCUUUUACCUCUCAGGUUACAAUUCUUAUUCUGAUUCUAUAGACUUCUUCCUUUGUAUCUAAUUUUGCACUAGUAUUGCUCCUAGUAGUGAUAGGAUUGGCAGGAGUCAGGACUUCGGCGCCAGCUUUUGUUUUCUUCAGCACUCUUUUUGUCUGGGCUGUUUACGUAUCUGUGGUUCGCCGAGGUCCAAUUUUGAUUCUUCAACUUAAUUGCUGUAGCUCAAGUUGUUAAAACAAUGUGGUUGUAUUCUGACAGCAUAUGCUGGUUACAGCAUUAUGCUAUUGGUUCCUGGCUUUUUAACCCAUCAAUUCAGUCGACGAAAUCGAAUCCCUGGAAAAGGAAGUUGUUUUUGUAUAGGAGUUGAAAGUUUCAACUUCUGUUGCACAUCAAGAAUCUCCAGCUGAAGAGGUAUGAUGUUUCUUCUCUCUUAUCCUUAUCUAAAGAGAUAACUAUUAUGCCAUUAACCAUCUAAACUCCGCAAAUUUAGCAUGCAGUGUCAUCUAGACUCGGCUCUACUCACUUUUAGAUUGUUUGAGAGAGAGAAAGAGACCCUUAACUCUGGAUUUCUACUUUGUUCAUUCAAUUACAUUGCGUGCUUAUGCUUUUCUAGUAGUCUUCAGCAAUUCUCUAACUGAAGAAAAUGUCUUAAAAAGAAAUUAUAAUGCACAACACUAAACUGGAAAUUGUGUUAGAGAUUUUCUUCUAGAGUAGUCAAUAUCCCUAAACUACCGUAGUUGGUUACUGUUUUAUUAUAAAUGCAUUAUCAUCAACGAAAAGCAGUGAAUAAUUUAGCUUUACUCGAGGCAAGUUGUUUGGUUUGACAAGAGAGUUCGUAGGCCUUAGGUCAUUUAUUUCUUUGUUCUCUUUUGUUCAUGUAUAAAAUUUCAAAUUUCUUCCAUUGCCUUUCCCUUGAUCUUAACCAAUUUAUGGACAGACUUUUUUAAACAAUGGUUUAUAUUUGUACUAUUGCAUAAAUUUGGAAGAGAUCUUGGCUACCUUGCUUCAGGACAAGGCUUCAUCAAGCAGUGGAGAAACUUAGACACCGUGUUCCAUAUCACCAAGCUACUCAAAUCUCGGUUCAAAAAGAGCUCAUUUACUUGAACUAACACAGUUCUGCAUGAUUUUUGUCCUGCAUUUCUCUGAGUUCUAAACAAUAUGCUUUAAUCCAGCCAUUUACAACAUACAGGAGAGUAAGAAAUUGCAGGUACUGCAAGAAUUGUGUUAUGCGAUUCGACCAUCAUUGUCCAGCUUUUGAAAACUGUAUAGGUAAUUGCUUCGUUCUUCAUCAAUUAAUUUUUUUCCUUGAAGAUAAUAUUGUUUUUGAAGCGUUUAUAGUUAAACGAUUCAUAUCAUUAUUCAUUUUAUGCUCGCUAUGCGCAAGUCAACGAAAUCAUGCUCGUGCUCAUUAUUGGUUUUGUGAUAUUUGAGACUUCUUUUGUACUAUGUGCUUCUCUGUGUGAGUUCAAACCCAGUUACCUCAGUUUUACUUCUUAUGCAGAAUACUUAGUACUAUAAAUUUGAGAAAAGAAGAUACUAGGGUUUAGCAGAGCUAAUAACUUUAAUUAUAUUUGUGUCGGUAGUCAGGAAUUCAAGAUACUCCUUCACGUGAUUGAGGUUUGGAUAAUAGAAUAAUUUAGGUAUGCUCGAACUGAUGCAUUUUAAUUAAACACAUACACUGCUUUUUUCUUGCUGAGUUGUGAAACCUGGAAAGAAUUGUUUUGAAGAAUCUCAACUCUAUGCAAGUGUAUAGUUUUAAUCUUAUUUGUCCAUUUCCCUCCUCAUUUUCUUCUCAAACUAAUCUUAAGUUUUUUCUUUUAUCCUCUGGACUACAGUUACAGCCAAGUCUAUGUUGGAGGGAAUGUAAGUCAUAUAUCUCCAGCUCCUGACAGUUGAUGCACUUGUUAUCAUUAUAUUGUGUUUGCUGCGCUGGUUGGAUUGUUAGGAUAACUAGUUUCUAUUUUUUGCUAAAUGUUACCUUUUGUUGUCAAACAUGAUUUGGUUCUUCCAGCCUAUUACAUCCAGAAAUUUGGUUGUUGGUACAGUAUUAUUUUGCUUUAUUUAAGUGCUUUGGCAGGUAAUCCUCCCCUACUAGGUUGUGCUAGUACUGUUGUGAUAUUUAUUUUUCAAAUACAGUCAAAAUCUUUGUAUGAUAGCUCUUGUUUUCAUCUAACAGAUAAAUUCUUUAUUUCUUAGGUUGUUUUCAUAAUGUGGCAUGUCUAUUGCGCAUGUUUUAACAUCAAAACGGACGGAUGGAUAAAUUGGAAAAGGUAUCCAGAAUUUCCAGAGUAAAGUUAGACCCCAUGAUGCAAAUGGAUAGCUUCCUUGCAACCUGUGAUCAUCAUCAAAAGCUCUUAGCAUCUUUUUACGUAAAGCCUAGAGCUAAAUGAAAAGCUCGUCCGACUUGUUAUCUAGACCGAAGGAACGUAGGAUGCUCAUGCCCGAAUCUGACAAGGUUUGUUUGGUGAUGCAUCCAGCCAUCCACCAGAAAUCAAAUCCUACCUCCUCCACUCCUUAAAACUGGGGGGUCCGAUGUUUUUCACGGUUGAGCCCGGCGUUGUUGGAUGGACUCGAGGCCGACAGUCGGGUUCAAUCUGGACAACAAAGUCAGUUAUGGAUGGAAUCAAAGGUGUUAAAUGCUUCCAAACAACACACACUUUUGUAGCCCCCUUGAAUGAAUUGACAUUUAUUGAAUCUUCACCAAGUUUGUUUUUUUCCUAUUAUUUCCGGCACAGGUAAGCCCCAUUUGCAACAUGGCAAGCGUCAAUAUGUGUAACAGCUUGAUUUGCUUCUAGUGUUCCAAAUCGCAACAGCAGCAAGUUUUUAAGACAAGUGUAUUUGGAAGAUAUUUUUCUUCAAUAUUAUAGUAGUAGUUCAUAUCCUAAA
This is a long non-coding RNA of Salvia splendens (bonfire salvia), 3035 nucleotides long. RefSeq lists it as uncharacterized. NCBI's taxonomy places the organism in Eukaryota, Viridiplantae, Streptophyta, Magnoliopsida, Lamiales, Lamiaceae. The transcript is spliced from 6 exons. The record is from RefSeq and is a predicted model, not a curated record.